AUGGACAGCCUCACAUAUCGUCAGGUUAACUGGAGGCCUUACGAGGCAAAUAGGGGUUUCGCAUUGAACCAGAUGUGCACUAGGGACUCCCAUCUUUGGCGGAUCAGGUGCCCUCUCAUAUGCAUUUAUGCUGUCGAGUGGCAUCUACCACAUCGAGUGGCCAUGCAAUUUGGUAUGAGGCAACGCACCCCAUCGGAGCCAGCAAGCACGGGUGGACUUGAGCUUCACAAUCAGAACCGAAAGAAUAAUCAGAAUGUGCUUGAGUGGGGACAACACCAUGCUAGGUAUGUUGAGAUGUGGGAGCAGAGGCUCGGUUCUAGAGAGACGGAUAUGACUCUGGCGGACAUGAGGAAUUUCAAAGAAACUCAUCUAAAGUGGUAUGACAAUGGGAGGCGAUUUCGGGUGCGUUUGAGGCCAAGGUGGACCGACGCAGAUCUUGCAGAUCAUGAUGCAAACAAUGAAUCAGACGAUGAGUAUGACGCCACAGUGAGAAGUACGCAAGGUUCUCACAGAGAGUAUGCGCCCUUGACUGAUAGAGUGGUAAGUCUUGUGAACCUAUUUGAAAGUGCAUUCAUAUUAUCUUGA
Molecule: ribosomal RNA, 585 nt
Filed under: Triticum aestivum (bread wheat)
Lineage: Eukaryota; Viridiplantae; Streptophyta; Magnoliopsida; Poales; Poaceae
Description: partial small subunit ribosomal RNA
Source: RNAcentral